CCUACGGGGGGCUGCAGUGGGGAAUAUUGGACAAUGGGGGCAACCCUGAUCCAGCCAUGCCGCGUGUGUGAAGAAGGCCCUCGGGUUGUAAAGCACUUUCAGUGAGGAAGAACGCCUGGUGGUUAAUACCCAUCAGGAAAGACAUCACUCACAGAAGAAGCACCGGCUAACUCCGUGCCAGCAGCCGCGGUAAUACGGAGGGUGCGAGCGUUAAUCGGAAUUACUGGGCGUAAAGCGCGCGUAGGUGGCUUGAUAAGCCGGUUGUGAAAGCCCCGGGCUCAACCUGGGAACGGCAUCCGGAACUGUCAAGCUAGAGUGCAGGAGAGGAAGGUAGAAUUCCCGGUGUAGCGGUGAAAUGCGUAGAGAUUGGGAGGAAUACCAGUGGCGAAGGCGGCCUUCUGGACUGACACUGACACUGAGGUGCGAAAGCGUGGGUAGCAAACAGGAUUAGAUACCCGAGUAGUC
Molecule: ribosomal RNA, 465 nt
Filed under: Vreelandella stevensii
Lineage: Bacteria; Pseudomonadati; Pseudomonadota; Gammaproteobacteria; Oceanospirillales; Halomonadaceae
Description: partial 16S ribosomal RNA
Rfam family: Bacterial small subunit ribosomal RNA
Source: RNAcentral